GUAUGUGAGCGGGACAAAAUAAUGAAGGAAGGAGAAAAAUUGCGUGAGUGUCCAGUAGUAGCUUAGUGGUUGCGGCUACUACUUUUAUCAUGAACGUGAAUAGCUUAGCGGCUACAGCUAUUACUUACUGAAUAUGACUGUUUGACAGACACAUAAGAAAGCACUAUCCCUGACCAGGAACAUCAGAAACGAUCACCAGACAGAGGUAUGUGUGUCCCUCCCAGCUGACAGAUAGGAAUGGUGCAGGAGAAUGAGAAAAAGUCUACUGAAAGGGGCAGGAAUGCAAGUGUCUUUGGAAGUGGCAGAUCCAUUCAACAAUGAAGAAGGUGUUGUAACGUGGUGGUCGUGUAUAGAGCAAUUUUAUCAAACAAGCUGAAACAAAGUAAAGCGCAGAAACUUGGCAUCAAGACAAAAUCCACUCACCAGCUACCUGCACCAUACAAGCGACAAUAACCAACCACACAGCACAAGCAGAGGACACAUAAUAAGACGAGGGGAAUCAGAGCGGGUAAGAAGGGGAAAGAGCGGUUACACUACCCCGGGACAAUGGAUGGUGGUAAGUAUUUGUAAUGAAUCUCACAAUCUCAGGCCAAAAUGUGGAAGUCAUGACAACCAGGGGUGCAGAUAGGAUUUUUUAAAUGGGGGGGACCAAGUGAUCUAAUGCCCUGUCGGCAAAUGAUUUCAACUCAGUUCGUUAUUUUGCGUAAUUUGGGCUUUAACUAGUGCUCAAGUAGUUACUUUGCGUAAUUUGGGCUAAUGAUUUGCACUAAAAAGCCAUUGGGGGAUUCUUAUUUGAAAUCAUGGAUAAAUAACAAUGAAAAAAGGUAAACAAAGGCCUACCUGAUCACCACUAGCAAUGCAUGAUCAGACUGUUAUUUGACUAGUAUGCCAAUCACCCACCAAAACUUCAUGUCUUCAGCAAAGUAUGUUUUAUUUAAACAUGUGCUUAUCUCAGCAUACAAAGUAUAUCAUUAUGAACAAAAUAGCAAAGAACCUAUUUGCAAAAAAUAAUAAUAAUAAUAAAAUAAAAUAACAACAACAUAUUUACAUAAAUAAAAAUAAGUAAAUAUACAGAGUAUGAGAAAUUCCGUCUAGUGCAGCCAAACAAAUUUACUCAAUGAAGGACCCAAAAACAUCUCUCCUCCUGUAACGAGGACGCGCGUGGAGGACCCGCGCCACCCCUCCCGACGCGGUGUUCAGCGCGCGUCAUCUCCGGCCUUCUAGCCACGCCGCUCCUCCUCCCACGGC
This is a long non-coding RNA of Esox lucius (northern pike), 1248 nucleotides long. NCBI's taxonomy places the organism in Eukaryota, Metazoa, Chordata, Actinopteri, Esociformes, Esocidae. The record is from Ensembl.